AUGGGCUGCUUGCCGAUUUGCGCAUCCACUACUUAUCUGGGUAUUUCAGGGUGGCAGCCUCUGCAGAAUCCAUUUUUUGGCUCUGAGGUCAUGUCAUCCUGGAAGGAUUUGCUGCAGGGAGACCAGCCAUAUGAUUUCUCAGAUGCUACUGAAUCAAUGCCUCCAUAUGCACAGCUGGGCAGUGAGGUCAUCCUAUUAGUUGUGUUGAUAUCAGGAACUAAUUCAAGGAAGGCUAGGGAUCCAGAACCAAUGCUCCAUUUUCUUGAGUCAUGGGAACGGUUGCUGCCGCCUAUCGUGCUCCAUUCAAUAUUGGAGCAUGUAAUAAUGCCAAAGCUCAUAGCUGCUGUCGAAUCUUGGACCCGCGGAGCUAAAAUAUGCCAAUCCAUGCAUGGGUACACCCAUGGUUCCAACUCUAGGGCAAAGGAUAGAGAAAUUGUGCCACUCUAUCCGGUACAAGCUGAGUAG
RNAcentral lists this ribosomal RNA (465 nucleotides) under Triticum aestivum (bread wheat). Its description in RNAcentral is "partial small subunit ribosomal RNA". Lineage: Eukaryota; Viridiplantae; Streptophyta; Magnoliopsida; Poales; Poaceae. The record is from RNAcentral.